GAUGAACGCUAGCUACAGGCUUAACACAUGCAAGUCGAGGGGAAACGGCAUCGAAAGCUUGCUUUUGAUGGGCGUCGACCGGCGCACGGGUGAGUAACGCGUAUCCAACCUGCCCAUCACUUGGGAAUAACCUUGCGAAAGUAAGACUAAUGCCCAAUGACAUCCCACGAAGGCAUCCGAAUGGGAUUAAAGAUUUAUCGGUGAUGGAUGGGGAUGCGUCUGAUUAGCUUGUUGGCGGGGUGACGGCCCACCAAGGCAACGAUCAGUAGGGGUUCUGAGAGGAAGGUCCCCCACAUUGGAACUGAGACACGGUCCAAACGCCUACGGCAGGCAGCAGUGAGGGAUAUUGGUCAAUGGGCGAGAGCCUGAACCAGCCAAGUAGCGUGCAGGAUGACGGCCCUAUGGGUUGUAAACUGCUUUUAUAAGGGAAUAAAGUGGGUCACGUGUGACUUUUUGCAUGUACCUUAUGAAUAAGGACCGGCUAAUUCCGUG
This 492-nucleotide ribosomal RNA is filed under the name uncultured bacterium. RNAcentral describes it as "partial 16S ribosomal RNA". It matches the Rfam family "Bacterial small subunit ribosomal RNA", at positions 28 to 507 of the family's 1533-position model. The record is from RNAcentral.